AGAGUUUGAUCCUGGCUCAGAUUGAACGCUGGCGGCAUGCCUAACACAUGCAAGUCGAACGAGGUAGCAAUACCUAGUGGCGGACGGGUGAGGAACACGUAGGAAUUUGCCCUUAAGUGGGGGAUAGCCUGGGGAAACUCGGAGUAAUACCGCAUGAACUCGAAAGAGCAAAGGGGGCGCAAGCUCUCGCUUUUGGAGAAGCCUACGUCGGAUUAGCUAGUUGGUGGGGUAAUAGCCCACCAAGGCAACGAUCCGUAACUGGUCUGAGAGGAUGAUCAGUCACAUCGGAACUGAGACACGGUCCGAACUCCUACGGGAGGCAGCAGUGGGGAAUAUUGGACAAUGGGCGAAAGCCUGAUCCAGCAAUGCCGCGUGUGUGAAGAAGGCCUGCGGGUUGUAAAGCACUUUAGGCUGGAAAGAAAAAGCUUGGGCUAAUACUCCAAGCCUUGACGGUACCAGCAGAAUAAGCACCGGCUAACUCUGUGCCAGCCGCCGCGGUAAUUC
RNAcentral lists this ribosomal RNA (504 nucleotides) under uncultured bacterium. RNAcentral's name for it is "bacterial SSU rRNA". It matches the Rfam family "Bacterial small subunit ribosomal RNA", at positions 8 to 526 of the family's 1533-position model. The record is from RNAcentral.